GCUGGUAUAGCUCAGUUGGUAGAGCAUGAGAUCUCAGAGUUGUGGGCUCAAGCCCCACCUUGGGCA
Podarcis lilfordi (Lilford's wall lizard) is the source of this 66-nucleotide non-coding RNA. Lineage: Eukaryota; Metazoa; Chordata; Lepidosauria; Squamata; Lacertidae. The record is from the annotation of a GenBank genome assembly.